GACGAACGCUGGCGGCGUGCUUAACACAUGCAAGUCGAACGGAAAGGCCCUGCUUUUGUGGGGUGCUCGAGUGGCGAACGGGUGAGUAACACGUGAGUAACCUGCCCUUGACUUUGGGAUAACUUCAGGAAACUGGGGCUAAUACCGGAUAGGAGCUCCUGCUGCAUGGUGGGGGUUGGAAAGUUUCGGCGGUUGGGGAUGGACUCGCGGCUUAUCAGCUUGUUGGUGGGGUAGUGGCUUACCAAGGCUUUGACGGGUAGCCGGCCUGAGAGGGUGACCGGCCACAUUGGGACUGAGAUACGGCCCAGACUCCUACGGGAGACAGCAGUGGGGAAUAUUGCACAAUGGGCGGAAGCCUGAUGCAGCAACGCCGCGUGCGGGAUGACGGCUUUCGGGUUGUAAACCGCUUUCGCCUGUGACGAAGCGUGAGUGACGGUAAUGGGUAAAGAAGCACCGGCUAACUACGUG
RNAcentral lists this ribosomal RNA (468 nucleotides) under uncultured bacterium. RNAcentral describes it as "partial 16S ribosomal RNA". It matches the Rfam family "Bacterial small subunit ribosomal RNA", at positions 28 to 507 of the family's 1533-position model. The record is from RNAcentral.